This is a long non-coding RNA of Lates calcarifer (barramundi perch), 174 nucleotides long. RefSeq lists it as uncharacterized. The record is from RefSeq and is a predicted model, not a curated record. The transcript is spliced from 3 exons. NCBI's taxonomy places the organism in Eukaryota, Metazoa, Chordata, Actinopteri, Centropomidae.
GUCAAAAAUGGUCAAAAAAUGUCAUAGUAUAGUAAGGUGUCAAAAAUUGUCAAAGAAUGUCAUAGUAUAGUAAGUCAAAAACAGUAAAAAAAUUUGUUAUAGUAUAGUAAGGAACAGACAAUGUCUCUGUGAUCUUCGAUGGUGUCUCCCUGAUCGCAGGCGAUGCCGUCAAAU